GGUUUUGUGGUCGAGUGGUGAGAACACUUGUCUUUCACUCUGGAGUUCCGGGUUCAAUCCCCGGUCGAGGAGCU
Non-coding RNA from Rhamnusium bicolor, 74 nucleotides. NCBI's taxonomy places the organism in Eukaryota, Metazoa, Arthropoda, Insecta, Coleoptera, Cerambycidae. The record is from the annotation of a GenBank genome assembly.